GACGAACGCUGGCGGCGUGCCUAAUACAUGCCAGUCGAACGCUUCUUUCCUCCCGAGUGCUUGCACUCAAUUGGAAAGAGGAGUGGCGGACGGGUGAGUAACACGUGGGUAACCUACCCAUCAGAGGGGGAUAACACUUGGAAACAGGUGCUAAUACCGCAUAACAGUUUAUGCCGCAUGGCAUAAGAGUGAAAGGCGCUUUCGGGUGUCGCUGAUGGCUGGACCCGCGGUGCAUUAGCUAGUUGGUGAGGUAACGGCUCACCAAGGCCACGAUGCAUAGCCGACCUGAGAGGGUGAUCGGCCACACUGGGACUGAGACACGGCCCAGACUCCUACGGGAGGCAGCAGUAGGGAAUCUUCGGCAAUGGACGAAAGUCUGACCGAGCAACGCCGCGUGAGUGAAGAAGGUUUUCGGAUCGUAAAACUCUGUUGUUAGAGAAGAACAAGGACGUUAGUAACUGAACGUCCCCUGACGGUAUCUAGCCAGAAAGCCACGGCUAACUACGUG
RNAcentral lists this ribosomal RNA (508 nucleotides) under uncultured bacterium. Its description in RNAcentral is "partial 16S ribosomal RNA". It matches the Rfam family "Bacterial small subunit ribosomal RNA", at positions 28 to 507 of the family's 1533-position model. The record is from RNAcentral.